This is a long non-coding RNA of Lycium barbarum (goji berry), 2658 nucleotides long. RefSeq lists it as uncharacterized. The transcript has 2 exons. The record is from RefSeq and is a predicted model, not a curated record. NCBI's taxonomy places the organism in Eukaryota, Viridiplantae, Streptophyta, Magnoliopsida, Solanales, Solanaceae.
AACUCUGACAAAAAGUUGUUGCUGCUGUAAUCAAAAUGCUAGUAAAGGAAAUGGAUACCCUACGAUACCACGUUCACACUUUUUUGUUCACUACUAUGUUUGAAAUUACUGGUCCGACUAACAACUAAUUCGAAUUAGCAUUGUGAAACUUCACUAAGGGGUAAAGCGCUCCCUACAAGAAGUUAUCCAUUUCGGAGCUCAUGUCCAGGACCUCUGAUUAAAGAUUAAGGGAUCUCAACCAUCUCUCCAAACCCCUGUCCCUUUCAACUUUUCACACUCUGUAAGGUAUCCCUUACUUUGUCACUAAGUAAUAUAUACUUGGUCUUUUAGAGCUGCCCCUUUCGUAUCAAGAAUAAUAUGAAACCAACAAUAGCAGAUGAAGAAAUAUGAGAUUACCUCAAUUUCGGAAGGUUAAUAUGGGCACAAGUUACUAGAAUUAACUUUGAGAAUUCAAAUUAUUAUUACUCACUCAGGAUUACCUAUUUGGGAAGUCAAACAACUCUUUCUUUGAUUACGGUUUUCUUCAACUCUUUUUAUAUAUUGUGAAUUACUCCCUCCAUCCCAAUUUAUGUGGCACCCUUUGACUAGGCACGGAGUUUAAGAAAGUAAAGAAGGCUUUUGAAACUUAUGGACCAAAACAAGCCUUAAAUAUUUGUGUGGUUGUAAAUCAUCUCAUAAAGUUAAAUUGUAUUAUACAAAUGUGACAUGUUUUUGGGACAGACUAAAAAGGAAAUUGUAUCACAUAAAUUGGGAUAGAGGGAGUAUUAAUUAUGCAGACUUGUAAUACUUUAUAUGUAGUUUUUAACUCUGUAACCAUUCAAUUACCAGAUAUGCCAACUCUUUUGUUAAAAGUAAAAAUGUGACCCUUACAUAAUAAAGGAACCUUGCCAAAUGUGAGAGUUCCAUAAAUUUAUCUACAACCAUUUGAAAACUUUAUCUGCUUUCUGUUAAACUUUCUACUAGCUGCAUAUUAAUUCUAGUACAAUAUCUGUUUCUUGAUUCUGAUCUGAUAUCAGGGACAAAUGUUGAUCAUAAUUCACAUAUUCACUUCUAUAUUCUCUCUCUCUCUCUCUCUAUAUAUAUAUAUAUAUAUGUAUAUGUAGUAACAAUUGAGGGCACCUGAAGUUAGAAGUUGAAAAGUAUCUAUAUGAUCGUAGAAAUGAAUCAAAGCAGGCUAUGUCCGAUGCCACAUGACUUUUUUCUUCUUAAUCAAUUGCACAAGGAAUGGAACGUUAAGGCUCUAAACUCGUUUAGAAACAUUCGAGUGCACAUUUGAACAAGGGGUCAAUUGGUAGCUGGUUAGAGCUAUGCAAGUAAUGUUGCAAACAAUUUAGUGUAAGAAUAGAAGCAGUGAGAUAGGCGACAAUUGAAUGUCUGAACAGUUUGCCGUGUCAGAUCCGUUACAUACCUUUUGGAUCUUGUUGUUGAAUGAAAGAUUUGAGUAAAUUACUGUUUCAGAAAAGAAAAGUAAGAUCUUAAAGGUAGCAUGCCAGCUCAGAGUGUUGGUAAACUUAUCGGAUCCUUUACAUGCUUAGAUAAUUGCCUAUCCUUUUGUCUCAAGUACCAUUACUUUAUCGCUAAAAGAAAGAUAAAGCAUUUAACUUUCAUAGAUUUGCCGCCUUUGAUCAGUCAUUUUGAAUCAGCACAUGUGUCUAAACUUUUUCACAGUUGUUCUUUGGUGACCAGAGGAUGACUAAGGAUAACUACCAGGGCACUGAUCAUUUUUUCUCCUAUAUAUAUGCAACCUCUGCGCAAACUAUUAAUCCAUCACAAACAGCAGCUCUGAGUCGUCUAAAGUUCAAUUGCAGUUUUAACAAAAGCUGAAGAAGUUAUAAUGAUGCCAAACCAAAGAGUUCCAAUGAGAUCACAGAGAAGACUUUUAACUGCUUCUAUAAACCCGUCGCAGACCCUUGAAAAUUCAAAAAUCACAAGACAUACACUUGAAAAUCUUACGAAUGGCUUUCAAGAGGAUGGUAAGUACUUGAUUCAACCCCAAACUUACAUAUAGAAAAUUACUUUUCCCCAUUGUUUUCCCUUAAUUUGUGUAAUUUCAAGACAUUGUCUUUCCUGGCUAAUUGUCUUGCUAUUAAUUUUGUCCUGCAAAAAGAUUGUGGCCUCAACUGAUAGAAAGUGUGAAGGACAGGUUAAGCCUGCAGAGUGGAAAGAUUCUUAAAGUGAAAAGAAUAAAGAAUGUUUUUCAGAAAAAUUUCAGUGUCAGACACGAAGAAAAACUUGUCAAGGCAGCUCACUGUAAUUUACAAACAACAUCAGAUCUCGAUUGCGCUGAGAAAAAUAAAGAAAGCCACAGAGAGUAAGAGUUUGAAGAAACCAUCGAACGAGUACAUUCAAGUAGUAACUGAGGAUAAUUUUGAGUUCUGGUUCUUGGGAUUCUUGAAUCACAAGAGCAUCUUGAAAUGUCUUCAGGAGGCGACUUGUGAGACUCAAUGCCACUAUAUUCUAUGACAAAACUGGAGUUUGUUCAGAAUGUGGCACACCUGAUCUCACUAUAGAGGAAUGAGCUAGUACAUAUUAAUUGUUAGACUAAAAAAUAUCGACAUGUAAUGUGAUAUAUUCUGCUAAAUGUGCCAUUAGUCUAUGUUCUUUUUCUUGUCCAUUAAGAGCUAGUGGUUAUAUUGAGAUUAGUUUUUUAGUUUCAAA